UGUGUAGUAUGGCAUGGCAUGGUGUGUGUUGUGAUAUAUGUGACAUGGUGUGGUUUGUAUGGCAUAGCAUGUAUAGUGUGGUGUGUGUGGCAUGGAGUGGUGUGAGUGGUGUGUAGUAUGGCACAGCAUGGUGUGUGUGGUAUAUGUGACAUGGUGUGGUGUGUAGUGGCAUGGCAUGUAUAGUGUAGUGUGUGUGUGGCAUGGCGUGGUAUGGGCCUGGGGGCAUAUGCAUGCAUGGUGUGUCCCACACUGCCUGGAAGACAUAUGGGAGAAGCCCUGUGAACACAGGAAGUUGGGAGAUGGAUUUGAAUGCCAGAGUGGGAUGAGGACUCAAUUCUGAGGAUGGGAACCAUAGCUCGUUUUUGAGCAAGAGAAUGUGCUAAGAAGUUGUAUAGGAAGUGUGUGAGCAUGGAUGUGGGAGAGCUUGAUACAGGGAGCUCAUCAGAGAGACUGGGCUGGUCCUAGAAACGCUGAGAAGGGUAGAGAAGAUGUAAGCCCAGAGACCUCUCAGUGGAGACAUCAGCAAUCAGGGAAGCAGUUGGGAAGAGGAGUGCUUGUGAGGGGCCAGAGCAGCUGGGCAGGGAUGGCAGAGAUGACAGGACCAAGCCAUUGUUCAUGUUGUAAAUUGGAGCUGUCUUGAAUACCAGAAAAGGCCUUCUUAAGCUCGCUUUCAGGGACAAGGAGAAGCCAUUGCUGAAUCCUAAACAGGAGAAUGUUUUAAAGAAAUUCAUACUGGAGAACUGGCAGAGAACUUCUGAGCCCUCUGGAAUGGACACUGGUAUCUUACCCAAUGCCCAGUGCUCUCUUGCAGGCCUUUUCCAAGACCCAGGGCCCAGACCAAGCUGCAUGUGGUGUGGCCUGAUGUGACGGUGUGGGAAAUGAGCUUCAGAGGCCUUGGUCUCAGAUGGAAAGGCUGGGUAUGCAGGGAGGGGCAAGUCUUGUCUAACCACAACUGGCUUGAUUUUUGCGCACGGUCCUCCCAGGCCACAGGGAGCCCCAGGACCACCAGAGAUCCCUGGAGCCAAGGGUGAACUUGGACUUCCCAGUGCCGCAGGAAUCGAUGGAGAAAAGUAUGAGGAACAUCUUGCACAUGGCAUAAUUAUUUGACUGAAGGAAUGCUGUCACUCAAAGCUUCUGACAUGUGAGCACAGUUGGCCUCAUGAGGGCUGGAGAUGCAGCUCACUGGUAGAAUGCUCACCUAUCAUGCAUGAGGCCAUGGCUUUAAUCUCUAGCACCAUACACAAAAAAAUUAAAAAGAGUUAGCCUCAUGAGUGCCCCAGAAGAGACACCCCAAUCCUGCAUACUUCCCGUAUACCCCCACCCCACCCUAAGCAGCACAUACCUCAAGCAUGCAAGGAAGCAGAGGUCGAGUGUCCCCUUC
Long non-coding RNA from Nannospalax galili (Upper Galilee mountains blind mole rat), 1381 nucleotides. RefSeq lists it as uncharacterized. Lineage: Eukaryota; Metazoa; Chordata; Mammalia; Rodentia; Spalacidae. The transcript is spliced from 3 exons. The record is from RefSeq and is a predicted model, not a curated record.